GUCAAAACAGAACACAGGUAAGAGAGCAACUGGAAAAGAAAGACGCUGAUAAAAUCAGCAGCAAGGAGAGAGAUGUUCACACAGGCCAGAAUAAACUCGAAGGAGGGAACACUUUGUAGCGGUGGCACCUGGUCGGGAGACCCAAGCUCCAGUUUAGACAGGAAAAGGGAGCAGAGCCUUUGGGCCAGCCACUCUCUCACCAACAGCCUUGAUUCCAUCGCGUGUUAUUUUAAACAAUGGCAACACACUGGAUCCAUGGUUUUGGUUUUGCUCUCCUUGCUGUUCUGCUCGAGACCCGAAUUUGAGAAUAUUGCUUCCAAAACAGCCACGAUUUUUGGAUUUCCCUGGUGGUCCAGUGGUUAAGAAUCUGCCUGCCCAUGUAGGGGACACAGCUUUGAUCCCUGGUUGGGAAAGAUUCCACAUGCUUCAGAGCAACUAAACUGGUAAGCCACAGCUACUGAAGCCUGCCUGACCUAGAGCCUGUUUGCUGUCAGCAAAAGCGUCUGUAGUGAGAAGCUCCUGCACCACAACACAGAGCCUGGCUCCCUGCAACCAGAGAAAGCCCUCAGGUAGCAAGGAAGACCAAGCACAGCCAAAAAUAAAAAUAAAUUUAAAAAUAUAUAUAUUUUUAAA
Molecule: long non-coding RNA, 633 nt
Organism: Bos indicus x Bos taurus (hybrid cattle)
Lineage: Eukaryota; Metazoa; Chordata; Mammalia; Artiodactyla; Bovidae
Source: Ensembl